This is a long non-coding RNA of Nicotiana attenuata, 760 nucleotides long. RefSeq lists it as uncharacterized. Lineage: Eukaryota; Viridiplantae; Streptophyta; Magnoliopsida; Solanales; Solanaceae. The record is from RefSeq and is a predicted model, not a curated record. The transcript has 5 exons.
ACUAUUUUUGAAUGACCAAUCUGAAACUGGCUAUACCGUCCUAUUUUGACAAAUCUCCGGUAUAUAGUCUCUUCGCCAACAACAGAACUGUUCAAACCCCCAAAACUUAAAAGGCUCAUCAGCUUGACGCAUCUCUACUCUGUAAUUUUCGCGGGUAUAAGGCUUCAUUAAUGGAGAUGAUAGCAGGAAGGAGAACAAGGUGAGCUCAGAAUACGCCAUCGAUGCAAAGAGGAGAAAAAGAAAAAGACCACAGUCUUGACCUUCGAUCGUGCUACGAGCACGGGCAGAUAGGUGGUUACAAGGAGGGCCUGCCUUUCCAAUCAAUCUCCGGCCGCUCAAUGUCGCUAUUGGUGUGAAAAUGAGGAAAUUUUCAAAGGUGAACUAACAGGAAGAAAGUCAUCGCAUCUACAAGCGAAGAGUAUAACACAUCAGAUGAAAUGUGAAUCCAAAAGGGCGAGAAGCAGUAAUGGCGGACGAUCCCUUGUAGCAUAUGUAAAAGAUGUGAGAAGAAGAGAGAGUGAAAGCAGUGGGUGUGAGAACAUAGAUUUAACUCCAUAACUUUUAGAAGCAGUGGUUGUAAGAACACAGAUUUUAAAUUUGCAAGAGCUAGUGUUUUCAGAAUAUGUACAAUAUGGAUUAGGUCGGGUAAAACUUAAAAAUAUGGGACAUUUUUUGUUAUGGUGUGAAGUCAUCUGUAUUUUCUUGUAAUUCUUUCUUUUUUAUUUUGUUUUCAUAUUUUUCCCUUGAACUUUAUAUUAGA